UCCCUGCUCAUCGUAGUACUUCUCCCAGCCCAAGGGCAACUCCCCCGUAAUCCGCUUGGAGCGACCUGUCCGCGGGUGUGUCCACUGUGAGGUUUUGCCCUGUUGGCUAAAGAUAUCAAACUGUGCCGUCAUCGGUGGCCCGCUCCUCCCAGCCGGGUGGCAGCUCAUCCUCACUGUCCGUGUCGGGAAGGGACAUCAUUUUAUUGGAUUGGAUUUUAUAUUUAGUUUACGUCUACUUUUUACUAAAAUGAUACUUUUUUGGCGAAACAAAUUCCAAUUGAAAUUUCAGCUAAAAUAAGUGUUGGAAAGUUUGCAAGGGAGAACAGCUGUUCCGAUUAACAGAAGUAUGUUCGGCGCAACCGGUAAGUUAACAUAACCGGUUGGCUAUCAGAACGGUUGGUCAGAUGUUAAUUUGAAUUUAACAACAUUUCCCCAAAACAAGAUAGUUGUUAGAUAUUUCACAUUGUAUCGUUACUUUUCACUUAUAAAAUGUUGAUAGCAUCUAUCUGUUUAGUUUAUUUAUCGUUUUCAUCCUUGCAUUGUUCAGGUUUGUCAGUUAGCUUAUUUAUUUUGUAAGAAAACAACAAGUAAAAACAAAAAGGUAUUCACUAUAGUGAAAUAGGCUUAAAUGUAUUUCUAAAGAUGUGUAAUAAUAACCUAUAAUAUAAAGAUAAGGCACCAUUUUCUUUUGCAGAAAUAAGUAUCAAAUAAAACUAUUUUGAUUCCUUAUGGUAUGGAUUAAAAGAUCGAUUCGUUUUAUUAAGUAAUCACACAUGGUGUGAGGGUGUCAGCCAAAUAAUUACGCCUGCGAAGCAAACCCAUUUUUUGCUCAACAAAUUGAUUACAUGGUGGAAGGGAGCUCAAAAAUCGGAAGAACAGUUACCUAAUUUAUGGACAGACCCUUAACAGGAACUAACGCUUAAUAAU
Non-coding RNA from Drosophila suzukii, 927 nucleotides. The record is from RefSeq and is a predicted model, not a curated record. Lineage: Eukaryota; Metazoa; Arthropoda; Insecta; Diptera; Drosophilidae.